UGGGGUGAGGCUGGGUGGUAAAGCACUUGCCUCCCACGUGUGAGGCACUGGGUUCGAUCCUCAGCACCACAU
Molecule: transfer RNA, 72 nt
Filed under: Ictidomys tridecemlineatus (thirteen-lined ground squirrel)
Lineage: Eukaryota; Metazoa; Chordata; Mammalia; Rodentia; Sciuridae
Description: Spermophilus tridecemlineatus (thirteen-lined ground squirrel) tRNA
Rfam family: tRNA
About the family: Transfer RNA (tRNA) molecules are approximately 80 nucleotides in length.
Source: Rfam by way of RNAcentral